GGGGGCGGGCAGUCUACACAUGCAAGUCGAGCGGCAGCACAGAGGAACUUGUUCCUUGGGUGGCGAGCGGCGGACGGGUGAGUAAUGCCUGGGAAAUUGCCCGGUAGAGGGGGAUAACCAUUGGAAACGAUGGCUAAUACCGCAUAACCUCGUAAGAGCAAAGCAGGGGACCUUCGGGCCUUGUGCUACCGGAUAUGCCCAGGUGGGAUUAGCUAGUUGGUGAGGUAAGGGCUCACCAAGGCGACGAUCCCUAGCUGGUCUGAGAGGAUGAUCAGCCACACUGGAACUGAGACACGGUCCAGACUCCUACGGGAGGCAGCAGUGGGGAAUAUUGCACAAUGGGCGCAAGCCUGAUGCAGCCAUGCCGCGUGUAUGAAGAAGGCCUUCGGGUUGUAAAGUACUUUCAGUAGGGAGGAAGGGUGGUUAAGUUAAUACCUUAAUCAUUUGACGUUACCUACAGAAGAAGCACCGGCUAACUCCGUGCCAGCAGCCGCGGUAAUACGGAGGGUGCAAGCGUUAAUCGGAAUUACUGGGCGUAAAGCGCAUGCAGGUGGUUUGUUAAGUCAGAUGUGAAAGCCCUGGGCUCAACCUAGGAAUUGCAUUUGAAACUGACAAGCUAGAGUACUGUAGAGGGGGGGUAGAAUUUCAGGUGUAGCGGUGAAAUGCGUAGAGAUCUGAAGGAAUACCGGUGGCGAAGGCGGCCCCCUGGACAGAUACUGACACUCAGAUGCGAAAGCGUGGGGGAGCAAACAGGAUGAGAUACCCUGGUAGUCCACGCCGUAAACGAUGUCUACUUGGGAGGUUGUGACCUAGAGUCGUGGCUUUCGGAGCUAACGCGUUAAGUAGACCGCCUGGGGAGUACGGUCGCAAGAUUAAAACUCAAAUGAAUUGACGGGGGCCCGCACAAGCGGUGGAGCAUGUGGUUUAAUUCGAUGCAACGCGAAGAAGCUUACCUACUCUUGACAUCCAGAGAAUCUAGCGGAGACGCUGGAGUGCCUUCGGGAGCUCUGGAGAACAGUGCUUGCAUGGCUGUCGUCAGCUCGUGCUUGUGAAAUGUUUGGGUUAAGUCCCCGCAACGAGCGGCAACCCUUUAUCCUUGUUUUGCCAGCCACGUUAAAUGGUUGGGGAAACCUCCAGGGGAG
RNAcentral lists this ribosomal RNA (1142 nucleotides) under Vibrio mimicus. RNAcentral describes it as "bacterial SSU rRNA". It matches the Rfam family "Bacterial small subunit ribosomal RNA", at positions 38 to 1149 of the family's 1533-position model. Lineage: Bacteria; Pseudomonadati; Pseudomonadota; Gammaproteobacteria; Vibrionales; Vibrionaceae. The record is from RNAcentral.